This 195-nucleotide unclassified non-coding RNA is filed under the name plant metagenome. Its description in RNAcentral is "partial contains 5.8S ribosomal RNA, internal transcribed spacer 2, and large subunit ribosomal RNA". The record is from RNAcentral.
GCACUCGCGCUGGCGACGUUCUUGCCGCUGCUGCGCCACGGGUUCUUUAACUUCACUUUGAUCCGAACCAGCUCGCCUGGAUCGAUCGCCCCAUUGUUGUUGCCCACUGUGUCGUCGAUCGUGACCGAAUCGACGUCGAGGUAUGGCAGAUCGAAAGACUCGCCCAGGCCCAUGUGCCCGAUGUUGAUGAAGCCC